UGCAGUGUCCCAGAACGUGGAUGCAGUCCCCAUGCAGUGGAUGCAGUGUCCCACAAUGUGCAUGCAGUAUAUUGUGACGCUGGAUGCAGGGCCCAUGAAGGUGGAUGCAGUGAUGCUGCAGUGGUUGCAGUGCCCCCUACAGUUCCCUGAAUGUGGAUGCUGUGAACAUGCAUUGGAUGCAGUGAUCCUACAGUGAUUGCAGUGCCCCCUACAGUUCCCUGAAUUUGGAUGCAGUGCCCAUGCAGUAGUUGCAGUGUCCCACAAGGUCGAUGUCAUAUGUUGCGAUGGAAGAUGCAGUGCCCAAGAAGGUGGAUGCAAUGAGCCUGUGCUGAAUGCAGUAGUUGCAGUGUCCCACAAGGUUGAUGUCGUAUGUUGUGAUGGAGGAUGCAGUGCACAUAAGGGCGGAUGCAGUGAUCUGGCAGUGGUUUCAUUGCACCCUGCUGUGUCCCUGAAUGUGCAUGCUCUGAACAUGCAGUGGAUGCAGCGAUACUAAAGUGAUUGCCGUGUGCCUGCAUUUCCACAUCAACUGGAAGCAGUGUCCCCGCAGGGGUUGCAGUGUGGCCUUCUGUGUUGCUGAAGGUGAAUGCAGUGUCCAUGCAGUGGAUGCAGUGUACCUAGAGGUUUAUGCAGUAUGUUGUGACGGAAGAUGCAGUGCCCAUGAAGGGGGAAUACAGUGUCCCUCCAGUGGUUGCAGUGCCCCCAUCAUUGUCCUGAAAUGUUAAUGCAGUGCCUAUGCAGUGGAUGCAGUGAAUCUUCCGUGAUUGCAGUGUGCCUUCAGUGCCACUUCAGCUGGAUGCAGUGUAGCUGCAGUGGUUCAGAUCCCCUGCCAUGUCCCUGAAUGUGGAUGCUGUGCCCAGGCAGUGUCUGCAGUUUGACUCAAGGUGGAUGCAGUAUGUUGUGAAGUAGGAUUCAGUGCCCAUGAAGGAUGAUGCAGUGAUCAUGCAGUCAUUGCAGUGCCACUUCAUCUGGAUGCAGUGUCCCUGCAGUGGUUGCAUUGCAGCCUGCUGUGUCCCUGAAUGUGGAUGCAGUGAACAUGCAAUGGAUGCUGUGUCCCACAAUGUGGAGGCAUUGUGGUGUGUUGUACGAUGCAGUGCCAAUGAAGGUGAAUGCAGUGAUCUUGCAGUGAUGGCAGUGGGCCUGCAGUGCCUCUUCAGGUGGAUGCAGUGUCCCUCUAGUGGUUGUGAUGCCCCUUGCAUUCUCCUGGAAUGUGGAUGCAGUGCUCAUGCAGUGGAUGCAGUGUCCCACAACGUGGAGGCAUUUUGGUGUGUUGUAGGAUGCAGUGCCGAUGAAGGUGAAUGCAGUGAUCCUGCAGUGAUGGCAGUACACCUGCAGUGCGACUUCAGCUGGAUGCAGUGUUGCAGCAGUGGUUGCAGUGACCCCCGCAUUGUCUGGGAAUGUGGAUGCAGUAGUCAUGCAGUGGAUGUAGUGUCCCACAAGGUGGAUGCCGUAUGUUGUGACGGAGGAUGCAGUCCACACGAAGGUGGAUGCAGUGAGCCUCCAGUGAUUGCAGUGCGCUGGCAGUGCCUCUUCAGCUGGUUUCAGAUGCUGCAGUGGUUUCAGAGCCAACAGCAGUGUCCCUGAACGUGGAUGCAGUGCCCAUGCAGUGGAUGCAGUGUCUCACAAGGCGGUUACAGUAUGUUUUGUCAGAGGAUGCAGUGCCCAUG
This 1664-nucleotide long non-coding RNA is filed under the name Equus caballus (horse). RNAcentral's name for it is "lncRNA (ENSECAG00000050916.1)". The record is from RNAcentral. Lineage: Eukaryota; Metazoa; Chordata; Mammalia; Perissodactyla; Equidae.